GACGGAAGGUGCAAGCGUUGUUCGGAUUCAUUGGGCGUAAAGGGUGCGUAGGCGGCGCGGUAAGUCGGGUGUGAAAUCUCGGAGCUUAACUCCGAAACUGCAUUCGAUACUGCCGUGCUUGAGGACUGGAGAGGAGACUGGAAUUUACGGUGUAGCGGUGAAAUGCGUAGAUAUCGUAAGGAAGACCAGUGGCGAAGGCGGGUCUCUGGACAGUUCCUGACGCUGAGGCACGAAGGUCAGGGGAGCAAACGGG
This 253-nucleotide ribosomal RNA is filed under the name uncultured bacterium. RNAcentral describes it as "partial 16S ribosomal RNA". It matches the Rfam family "Bacterial small subunit ribosomal RNA", at positions 524 to 776 of the family's 1533-position model. The record is from RNAcentral.